Molecule: ribosomal RNA, 119 nt
Filed under: Candidatus Odinarchaeota archaeon
Lineage: Archaea; Promethearchaeati; Candidatus Odinarchaeota
Also listed under: 2 other names
Source: RNAcentral
UGGCGCGGUCAUAGAAGCUGGGUCACACCCGGUCUCGUCAGAUCCCGGAAGUUAAGCCGGUUUCGUCGCCGUGAGUACUGAUAUCCGAGAGGCGUCGGGAAAAUGGUGAACUGCGCCAC